Molecule: ribosomal RNA, 253 nt
Filed under: uncultured bacterium
Lineage: Bacteria
Description: partial 16S ribosomal RNA
Rfam family: Bacterial small subunit ribosomal RNA
Source: RNAcentral
UACGAACCGUACAAACAUUAUUCGGAAUCACUGGGCUUAAAGGGUGCGUAGGCGGCGCGGAAAGUUGGGUGUGAAAUCCCUCGGCUCAACCGAGGAACUGCGCCCAAAACUACCGUGCUUGAGGGAGACAGAGGUGAGCGGAACUUAGGGUGGAGCGGUGAAAUGCGUUGAUAUCCUAAGGAACACCGGUGGCGAAAGCGGCUCACUGGGUCUCUUCUGACGCUGAGGUGCGAAAGCGUGGGGAGAAAACAGG